AUAGUGUAUAUUAAAGUUGCUGCAGUUAAAAAGCUCGUAGUUGGAUUUUGAAUUAUAAAAAUUUAACAUUCAUCUUUUAGAUGUGAUUUAAUUUUUAUAUUCUUCCUUUUGAUACGCUCCAUCAAAUUAUAUUUUUUGGAUUUAAGUGUUUCAAAUUGUUUACUGUGAAAAAAUUAGAGUGUUCAAAGCAGGCGUAACCUAGCCUUUGAAUAUAUUAGCAUGGGAUAAUGAAAUAGGACUUUAAUCCUACUUUCGUUGGUUUCUAGGGCUAAAGUAAUGAUUAAUAGGGAUAGUUGGGGUCACUAGUAUUUAAUUGUCAGAGGUGAAAUUCUAAGAUUUAUUAAAGACUAACUACUG
RNAcentral lists this ribosomal RNA (357 nucleotides) under uncultured eukaryote. RNAcentral describes it as "bacterial SSU rRNA". It matches the Rfam family "Eukaryotic small subunit ribosomal RNA", at positions 594 to 945 of the family's 1831-position model. The record is from RNAcentral.